UACGGAGGAUGCGAGCGUUAUCCGGAUUUAUUGGGUUUAAAGGGUGCGUAGGCGGGCUUUUAAGUCAGCGGUAAAAAUUCGGGGCUCAACCCCGUCCGGCCGUUGAAACUGGGGGCCUUGAGUGGGCGAGAAGAAGGCGGAAUGCGUGGUGUAGCGGUGAAAUGCAUAGAUAUCACGCAGAACCCCGAUUGCGAUGGCAGCCUUCCGGCGCCCUACUGACGCUGAGGCACGAAAGUGCGGGGAUCGAACAGG
Molecule: ribosomal RNA, 252 nt
Filed under: uncultured bacterium
Lineage: Bacteria
Description: partial 16S ribosomal RNA
Rfam family: Bacterial small subunit ribosomal RNA
Source: RNAcentral